AAUCCUUUGUCCCUGGGUGA
RNAcentral lists this non-coding RNA (20 nucleotides) under Mus musculus (house mouse). Lineage: Eukaryota; Metazoa; Chordata; Mammalia; Rodentia; Muridae. The record is from RNAcentral. RNAcentral also lists the same sequence under 1 other name.